CAAUAGCGUAUAUUAAAGUUGUUGCAGUUAAAAAGCUCGUAGUUGGGUUUGUGGCGUACGGUGUGUUCCGGGCACUUGUUGUCUGAGUAACCUGCUGUUGCCAUCCUUGGGUGGAACCUGUGUGGCAUUAGGUUGUCGCGCAGGGGAUGCCCAUCAUUUACUGUGAAAAAAUUAGAGUGUUCAAAGCAGGCUUAUGCCGUUGAAUAUAUUAGCAUGGAAUAAUGAGAUAGGACUUUUUUGCUAUUUUGUUGGUUUGCGCAAAGAGGUAAUGAUUAAUAGGGACAGUUGGGGGUAUUCGUAUUCCAUUGUCAGAGGUGAAAUUCUUGGAUUUUUGGAAGACGAACUACUGCGAAAGCAUUUACCAAGGAUGUUUUCAUUAA
RNAcentral lists this ribosomal RNA (380 nucleotides) under uncultured eukaryote. RNAcentral's name for it is "partial 18S ribosomal RNA". It matches the Rfam family "Eukaryotic small subunit ribosomal RNA", at positions 592 to 976 of the family's 1831-position model. The record is from RNAcentral.